AAGUCGUAACAAGGUUUCCGUAGGUGAACCUGCGGAAGGAUCAUUAACACUAAUGCUAUCCAAAACCUUUUGGAUCAACCCAACCUUAGCGAACCGUUCGUUUUCAUUUCCCUUUUUGCCCUUUUUAUUAAACGCAACCAAUCUGAUGUAACGUGUCUGAUUCUUAUUCCCGUUUCUUUCCCUUUCGAGGGGGAGGGGCGUUUGGAAUCAAAAAUCUAACGCAAUACAACUCUUAACAACGGAUAUCUUGGCUCUC
Molecule: unclassified non-coding RNA, 256 nt
Filed under: fungal sp.
Lineage: Eukaryota; Fungi
Also listed under: 1 other name
Description: partial internal transcribed spacer region
Rfam family: Eukaryotic small subunit ribosomal RNA (bases 1-46)
Source: RNAcentral